AUUGAACGCUGGCGGCAUGCUUUACACAUGCAAGUCGAACGGUAACAGGCCUUCGGGUGCUGACGAGUGGCGAACGGGUGAGUAAUGCAUCGGAACGUGCCCAGAGGUGGGGGAUAACGCAGCGAAAGCUGUGCUAAUACCGCAUGUGAUCUGAGGAUGAAAGCGGGGGACCAGGCAGCAAUGUUUGGCCUCGCGCCUUUGGAGCCGCCGAUGUCAGAUUAGGUAGUUGGUGGGGUAAAGGCCUACCAAGCCGACGAUCUGUAGCUGGUCUGAGAGGACGACCAGCCACACUGGGACUGAGACACGGCCCAGACUCCUACGGGAGGCAGCAGUGGGGAAUGUUGGACAAUGGGCGCAAGCCUGAUCCAGCAAUGCCGCGUGCGGGAAGAAGGCCUUCGGGUUGUAAACCGCUUUUGUACGGAACGAAAAGGCUCUGGCUAAUACCUGGGGCUGAUGACGGUACCGUAAGAAUAAGCACCGGCUAACUACGUG
RNAcentral lists this ribosomal RNA (492 nucleotides) under uncultured bacterium. RNAcentral describes it as "partial 16S ribosomal RNA". It matches the Rfam family "Bacterial small subunit ribosomal RNA", at positions 30 to 507 of the family's 1533-position model. The record is from RNAcentral.